This 254-nucleotide ribosomal RNA is filed under the name uncultured bacterium. Its description in RNAcentral is "partial 16S ribosomal RNA". It matches the Rfam family "Bacterial small subunit ribosomal RNA", at positions 524 to 776 of the family's 1533-position model. The record is from RNAcentral.
UACAGAGGGUGCGAGCGUUGUUCGGAAUUACUGGGCGUAAAGGGCUCGUAGGUGGCCAACUAAGUCAGACGUGAAAUCCCUCGGCUUAACCGGGGAACUGCGUCUGAUACUGGAUGGCUUGAGUUUGGGAGAGGGAUGCGGAAUUCCAGGUGUAGCGGUGAAAUGCGUAGAUAUCUGGAGGAACACCGGUGGCGAAGGCGGCAUCCUGGACCAACACUGACGCUGAGUGAGCGAAAGCCAGGGGAGCAAACGGG